GAGUAGCUCAGUUGGUUGGAGGGUGGCACUGAUAACGCCAAGGUUGCAGGUUCGAUCCCUGCAAGAGACA
RNAcentral lists this transfer RNA (70 nucleotides) under Podarcis lilfordi (Lilford's wall lizard). RNAcentral describes it as "tRNA.Ile". The stretch from base 4 to 62 matches the Rfam family "tRNA", at positions 8 to 63 of the family's 71-position model. From Rfam's summary of the family: Transfer RNA (tRNA) molecules are approximately 80 nucleotides in length. The record is from RNAcentral. Lineage: Eukaryota; Metazoa; Chordata; Lepidosauria; Squamata; Lacertidae.